This 465-nucleotide ribosomal RNA is filed under the name Vreelandella stevensii. Its description in RNAcentral is "partial 16S ribosomal RNA". It matches the Rfam family "Bacterial small subunit ribosomal RNA", at positions 338 to 795 of the family's 1533-position model. Lineage: Bacteria; Pseudomonadati; Pseudomonadota; Gammaproteobacteria; Oceanospirillales; Halomonadaceae. The record is from RNAcentral.
CCUACGGGUGGCUGCAGUGGGGAAUAUUGGACAAUGGGGGCAACCCUGAUCCAGCCAUGCCGCGUGUGUGAAGAAGGCCCUCGGGUUGUAAAGCACUUUCAGUGAGGAAGAACGCCUGGUGGUUAAUACCCAUCAGGAAAGACAUCACUCACAGAAGAAGCACCGGCUAACUCCGUGCCAGCAGCCGCGGUAAUACGGAGGGUGCGAGCGUUAAUCGGACUUACUGGGCGUAAAGCGCGCGUAGGUGGCUUGAUAAGCCGGUUGUGAAAGCCCCGGGCUCAACCUGGGAACGGCAUCCGGAACUGUCAAGCUAGAGUGCAGGAGAGGAAGGUAGAAUUCCCGGUGUAGCGGUGAAAUGCGUAGAGAUCGGGAGGAAUACCAGUGGCGAAGGCGGCCUUCUGGACUGACACUGACACUGAGGUGCGAAAGCGUGGGUAGCGAACAGGAUUAGAUACCCCGGUAGUC